CUUCUUCCAUCUGCUGCGGGCAGAUGAAAUGGAUGUGGCAAUCGAUGCCGCCGGCGGUGACGAUUUUGCCUUCGCCGGCGAUGAUCUCGGUGGCGCCGCCGAUCACCAUGGUCACGUCCGGCUGGAUAUCCGGGUUGCCGGCCUUGCCGAUGGCGGCGAUCUUGCCGCCCUUGAUGCCGAUGUCGGCCUUGACGAUGCCCCAGUGGUCGAUGAUCACGGCGUUGGUGAUCACGGUGUCCAUCACGUCCCUAUGCAUGCGUUGCGACUGGCCCAUGCCGUCGCGGAU
Small RNA from Collimonas fungivorans Ter331, 286 nucleotides. It matches the Rfam family "5' ureB small RNA". The record is from Rfam. NCBI's taxonomy places the organism in Bacteria, Pseudomonadati, Pseudomonadota, Betaproteobacteria, Burkholderiales, Oxalobacteraceae.